This 506-nucleotide ribosomal RNA is filed under the name uncultured bacterium. RNAcentral's name for it is "partial 16S ribosomal RNA". It matches the Rfam family "Bacterial small subunit ribosomal RNA", at positions 29 to 523 of the family's 1533-position model. The record is from RNAcentral.
AGUGAACGCUGGCGGUAGGCCUAACACAUGCAAGUCGAACGGCAGCACAGGAGAGCUUGCUCUCUGGGUGGCGAGUGGCGGACGGGUGAGGAAUACAUCGGAAUCUACUCUGUCGUGGGGGAUAACGUAGGGAAACUUACGCUAAUACCGCAUACGACCUACGGGUGAAAGCAGGGGACCUUCGGGCCUUGCGCGAUUGAAUGAGCCGAUGUCGGAUUAGCUAGUUGGCGGGGUAAAGGCCCACCAAGGCGACGAUCCGUAGCUGGUCUGAGGGGAUGAUCAGCCACACUGGAACUGAGACACGGUCCAGACUCCUACGGGAGGCAGCAGUGGGGAAUAUUGGACAAUGGGCGCAAGCCUGAUCCAGCCAUACCGCGUGGGUGAGGAAGGCCUUCGGGUUGUAAAGCCCUCUUGUUGGGAAAGAAAUCCAGCUGGCUAAUACCCGGUUGGGAUGACGGUACCCAAAGAAUAAGCACCGGCUAACUUCGUGCCAGCCGCCGCCGUAA